GCGGGGCGGCGGCGGCGGCGCGCGCGUGGGCUCGUGAGAACACCACGCACCAUAACACACCUUAGUAGUUAUGCACUACCCAUGUGUGUUAUACUAUAUAAAGCCAACACCCCUUUUAUUUCUUUCUAUGUGGGACAAACACAUUCUCAAAACAAGCUUUUCCAAGCUACUAACUUCAACUUCAUUUCUCUUAUGGAUUUCAUUAAGAAAAUUCUUAAACCCAUACAUGAAAGUUUAAGUCCCGAUAUCUAGAACCAACUUCCAAUCAUUAGAUUAUGGAAUUAACAACAAGAACAUAAUAAAAUUAUGAACUUAAUAACUCCAUUUUCUAACAAUCCCCCACAAAUCCAUACAGAAAUGCGUUUCAGGUUUCUCAUCAUGACUUGUUUUUCAGAGUCGGUACCCUUCCGGGUUUGAACCCUCCUAAGUUCUCUACUUCAAUGGCUACCGGAUUCAGAUGGAAUAUUGCACCUUGAAUCUUAAUCCGUUGGGUGUAACCACUUUCCAUAGACAACAACAAAUCAACGGCUAUGGAGCCAAUCUACGGCUUUGAGACAUUAAUGGUCAUGUCUCGAUCCUGUUCGUCGAAUGCUUCAAGGAAUAACCCUUUCCUCUAAUUGCGACCACACAAUUACAUUCGCUUAGCUGGGCAUCUCCAGAGAUAUACUGCUAAUAUCUCGUCUAACGACUUGAUCCCAUUCAGAGUUGUAACACUCUUACUAUCUUAGCAGUCACAGUACCUUCUAGGUUUACAGGGGAUAGACUCAGAUACAUGAGUAUCAUCUAUGUAGCAAAGGUACUACCAAUUCACCCUUACAGCUUGUUAUUACCACAUUGAAUACACUUCGAGGGAUCUCCUCUCAUGUGUAUUGGGUUCCCACUGUUGAUGAAUUAUGAUGGGUUGACAGUCCCAUCCCCAACCUUGACUUAAGGACUACUGCAGGUUCCAGUCCUUUAGUCAAAGGAUCAGCUAUAUUAUUCUGAGUUCCUAUGAACUCUAUAGCUAUAAUCCUGUCAGACACUAACCCCCUUAUAGACUUAAGUCUAACUUGGAUGUGUCUCUUUGUUUUAGCAUUAUGCUUUUUACUGCUAAUCUUGUCAAUAGUUGUUCGACUAUCACAAUGAAUAGCAAUCGCAGGAAGCGGUCUGCUUACUACAGGUAACGCGGACAUAAGCCCAUGUAACCAUUCAGCCUCCGUCCCAGUGGCAUCAAGUGCACACAACUCAGCCUCAAAUGUCGACCGAGUCACAAUAGUCUGUCUAGUCGACUUCCAGGAUACUGCUCCACCCGCAAGGGUAAACACAUAUCCAGUCACUCCAUUGGAACCAGACUUCUUAGCUAUCCAACUUGCAUCACUGUACCCUUCAAGUACACCAGGAAACCUCCUGUAGUGUAAACUAAGGUACAUUGUGCCUUUCAGAUAUCUAAGUACUCUAUCAAGAGCAUCCCAAUGAGUUCUGUUUGGACAGCUUGUAUAUCUAGCCAACUUAGACACAGAAUAUGAGAUAUCUGGUCUAGUACAGUUAGCAAGAUACUGCAAGCUCCCAAUAAUCUGAGAAUAUCUUAACUGAGACACAGGAACUCCAGAAGUAUUCUUGACAAGGGCAACUUUAGAAUCAUAGGGUGUACUAGCGAUUCUACACCGUGAAUAACCAUAUUUCUCAAGUAUAGAUUUCUCUAUAUAAUGAGAUUGAGUCAAGGUUAUUCCUUCAGUUGACUGAAUCAGUUUGAUUCCAAGAAUCACACUAGCCUCCCCCAUAUCCUUCAUUUCAAAGUGCCUUUUUAAGAAUGCUUUUGUCUCGUUAAUAAUCUCAAUAUUGGUUCCAAACAAUAAGAUGUCAUCCACAUAUAGGCAUAAGAUGACAUACUCACUGCCUUUAACUUUGAUGUAGACACACUUAUCGCUUUCAUUAACUUUAAAACUGAAUGGCAAUACAGUAUCAUCAAACUUUUUAUGCCAAUCCCUGGGAGCUUGUUUCAAGCCAUAGAUGGACUUGAUUAACUUACAUACUUUCCUUUCAUUGCCAGAUGCAACAAAUCCCUCAGGCUGAUCCAUAUAAAUCUCCUCUUCAAGAUCACCAUGAAGAAAAGCCGUCUUUACAUCCAUCUGAUGGAUGAUAAGACCAUGGACCGAAGCCAAUGCUAUAAGCAUACGGAUUGUUACCAUCCUAGCAACCGGAGAGUAUGUGUCAAAGUAAUCAAUUCCUUCUUUUUGCUUAAACCCCUUUGCCACCAGUCUAGCUUUGUACUUAUCUAUUGAGCCGUCAGGGUUUAACUUCCUCUUGAAGACCCACUUGCACCCAAUAGUAGAGCACCCAGGAGGGAGAUCAACCAACUCCCAUGUUCCAUUAGAAACAAUAGAGUCAAUUUCACUCUUUACAGCGCCCUUCCAAUGCCUAGACUCCGAAGAGUCCAUAGCCUGUCGGAAAGUUAAAGGUUCGUCCUCGACAUUGUAAGUGAUAAAAUCACUUCCAAAAUCCUUAACUACCUUUGCACGCUUACUUCUCCUUGGUUCCUCUACUUCAUUAGGAGUAGAACUACUACCAGGUUCCGCCCCCACAUUUGUCAUCUUUUCCACAUGAUCGGGAAUAGAACUUGAUGUGUGAGUGGGAUCCUUAUCAUAGGUCUCUUGAGGUAUACCAGUCUUCAUAGGGUAGACAUCCUCAAAGAAUGUAGCAUCACGAAAUUCAACUAUCGUGUUAGCCACUAUACCAUCUAUGUCAGAUUUUAUUACUAAAAAUCUCAUAGCUGUAGUGGUCUCAGGAUAGCCCAGAAAGAUACAAUCAACAGUCUUUGGACCUAGUUUCUUUCUCUUGUGUUCAGGGACAAGUACCUUAGCAAGGCACCCCCACACACGAAGAUACUUAAGACUAGUCAUCCUGCCUUUCCAUAACUCUAAAGGUGUCUUAUCCAUGUGUUUCAGAGGAACUCUAUUCAAAAUAUGGCAAGCCGUAUUUAGAGCCUCUCCCCACAUGUAUUUAGGCAACCCAGAGUUAAUUAGCAUACUAUUAAUCAUAUCUUUAAAUGUUCUGUUCUUUCGCUCAGCGACCCCAUUAGACUCAGGUGUGUAUGGUGGAGUAACUUCAUGAACUAUACCAUUGUUUUCACAAAAUUCAUUAAAGGAGUUACUUGUAUACUCACCACCUCUGUCAGAUCUCAAACGUUUAAGUACCUUACUAGUUUGUUUUUCUACUUCAGUUUUAUAUAUAAUGAAUUUACUAAGUGCUUCAUCCUUAUGUUUAAGUAAAUAAACAUAACAAUAUCUACUACUAUCAUCUAUAAAGGUAAUGAAGUAUCUAAACUGGUCCUUAGUCAACACACCACCAAAUUCACAAAUAUCAGUGUGUACUAAAUCUAACAAGUCUGAAUCCCUAACAAUGUUAUGAAAAGGUUUCCUUAUUUGUUUAGCUGACACACAUACUUGACAUUUAGAAUUCUUUUCUAUGGUAUGUUUUGGAAUCAACUCUAAGUUCAUCAUAUUCUUAAGAGCACCAAAGUUUAAGUGACCUAGUCUAGCAUGCCAUAAACUUGAGGAUUCAACACAAUUCACAGAAGGAAGAAUAACAUUAUUUAAUGUACCCAAAACGGGUUCAGCAUUAAUUACAAAUAAACCAUUUGACAAGUAACCCUUGCCAAAAAAUAGUACCAGUGUGAAUAAGAACUACUUUAUUACAUUUGAAGGAAAUUUCAAAGCCAUUGGAAACUAAACAGCUUCCACUUAUUAUAUUUCUACGCAUGUCGGGAACAUAAUGCACUCUAGUUAGGGAUAGAAUACGUCCAGAAGGGAACUUCAGGUCUACGUUUCCUAUUCCAUGUACUUGAGCAGCACUAGCAUUCCCCAUCGUCACUGUCAAGCUAUGACUCUGUUGAUAAGAUACAAAUAGACUAAUAUCAGCACAAAUAUUUUAUUACUAAAAAUCUCAUAGCUGUAGUGGUCUCAGGAUAGCCCAGAAAGAUACAAUCAACAGUCUUUGGACCUAGUUUCUUUCUCUUGUGUUCAGGGACAAGUACCUUAGCAAGGCACCCCCACACACGAAGAUACUUAAGACUAGUCAUCCUGCCUUUCCAUAAAUCUAAAGGUGUCUUAUCCAUGUGUUUCAGAGGAACUCUAUUCAAAAUAUGGCAAGCCGUAUUUAGAGCCUCUCCCCACAUGUAUUUAGGCAACCCAGAGUUAAUUAGCAUACUAUUAAUCAUAUCUUUAAAUGUUCUGUUCUUUCGCUCAGCGACCCCAUUAGACUCAGGUGUGUAUGGUGGAGUAACUUCAUGAACUAUACCAUUGUUUUCACAAAAUUCAUUAAAGGAGUUACUUGUAUACUCACCACCUCUGUCAGAUCUCAAACGUUUAAGUACCUUACUAGUUUGUUUUUCUACUUCAGUUUUAUAUAUAAUGAAUUUACUAAGUGCUUCAUCCUUAUGUUUAAGUAAAUAAACAUAACAAUAUCUACUACUAUCAUCUAUAAAGGUAAUGAAGUAUCUAAACUGGUCCUUAGUCAACACACCACCAAAUUCACAAAUAUCAGUGUGUACUAAAUCUAACAAGUCUGAAUCCCUAACAAUGUUAUGAAAAGGUUUCCUUAUUUGUUUAGCUGACACACAUACUUGACAUUUAGAAUUCUUUUCUAUGGUAUGUUUUGGAAUCAACUCUAAGUUCAUCAUAUUCUUAAGAGCACCAAAGUUUAAGUGACCUAGUCUAGCAUGCCAUAAACUUGAGGAUUCAACACAAUUCACAGAAGGAAGAAUAACAUUAUUUAAUGUACCCAAAACGGGUUCAGCAUUAAUUACAAAUAAACCAUUUGACAAGUAACCCUUGCCAAAAAAUGUACCAGUGUGAAUAAGAACUACUUUAUUACAUUUGAAGGAAAUUUCAAAGCCAUUGGAAACUAAACAGCUUCCACUUAUUAUAUUUCUACGCAUGUCGGGAACAUAAUGCACUCUAGUUAGGGAUAGAAUACGUCCAGAAGGGAACUUCAGGUCUACGUUUCCUAUUCCAUGUACUUGAGCAGCACUAGCAUUCCCCAUCGUCACUGUCAAGCUAUGACUCUGUUGAUAAGAUACAAAUAAACUAAUAUCAGCACAAAUAUGCACAUUAGCUCCAGUAUCUAUCAACCAUUCAUUUGACAGAUAGGUAGAAAAUAAUACAGGGUUGUAGGAAACAUACCGGUCUGCGUUGGUUUCAGAAGCCGUGGCCUCACCAACAACCAUGUUCACUACGGGCCCACUUGUAGUUGCAAGCACAGCAUUCGCUUGUGCUACCACCUCAGCCUUCUUCGCCUUCUUUGUAGGGCAGUCCUUACUCCAGUGCCCAACCUGCCCACAAGACCAACACGGUUUGUUUGCCUUGGGUUUCUUGGCCUUGUCCUUGUCACUCUUAGGUUUAUUAGCGCUAACUUUCUUAGCCACACCCUUCCUUUUCUGUCCUACAGUAGCUACAUUUACCUUCGAGCUCCCGGCCUCAGUUGGCAUCACAUGUCCUUGUUUGGACUUGUGUUGUUCUUGAACCGAGAUGUCCAGCAUAAGGUUGGUCCAGAUGAUCUCUCCUUUCUGUCUUUUCAGGGAGAGAGAGAACUCCUCCCAAGACUUCGGAAGCUUUUCAAUCACACUCAUAACCUUGAACUUUUCAGGGAGAUCCAUUCCGGACUCCUUCAAAGCAUGCACUAUCAUCUCGAAUUCAUGCACUUGCUCAGUCAUGGACUUGUUGUCCACCAGCUUGAAUUCAAGGAACUUAGCCACAGAAUACUUCUCAAGACCCUGAGAGUCAGUAUUAAGUGGGCUGAGAAGGAUGGUGUGGCCAGGGCGGCCAUUCUGGCUGCUCUCACUAACACAUUGUUUGAUGAUAUUUUACCUUCACGUUUUGUUUCAACUUGCUUGGCCUUGGCUUGNCCACCACUGGUUUCUCAUACUCCACAACAGGCCAUAGACCUUUUACAGUCAACCACAAUUUCAUUCUUUUCUGCCAGCGAGAAAAGCCUACACCACCAUUGAACUUCUCUGGCAAGCCAGUUAAUUCAACGGCUUGUGGAAAACUGUAAGUGGUCCAAUCAAUGGCCACAACAGAUGCACCAGAACCACUACCACCACCAACAACGGGAACCUCAGUUUCACUCGACAUUAUGCUAAAUAAUAUAUAACAAAUAUUCUCUUCAAGAAUGUUGGAAAUUCUGAUUAUUAUAACAACAUAGAGGCAGUUAUAUAUCAUAUUAAACAAGCCAAGGCCAAGCAAGUUUAAACAAAACGCGAAGGUAAAACACAUGCAUAUCAGUGACUGUAAGACAAGAGGAAGGAGAGAAAUUGUACCAGUAGCCAUAGCCUGAGGCAACGACAUGUACAACACGAAAAUGACAAGAACAGCUGAGUCGUCAGGCCUUAUACGAAGACCUGACUGCUCUUGAAGAGAAUAUUGCCCCCACCUGCUGCACUGGGGAUGCUUGCAACACCUCCUCCAGGAUAAAACAGCUCAGAGCUUUGAGCCAGUUAAUUCAACGGCUUGUGGAAAACUGUAAGUAGUCCAAUCAAUGGCCACAACAGAUGCACCAGAACCACUACCACCACCAACAACGGGAACCUCAGUUUCGCUCGACAUUAUGCUAAAUAUUAUAUAACAAAUAUUCUCUUCAAGAAUGUUGGAAAUUCUGAUUAUUAUAACAACAUAGAGGCAGUUAUAUAUCAUAUUAAACAAGCCAAGGCCAAGCAAGUUGAAACAAAACGUGAAGGUAAAAUACAUGCAUGUCAGUGACUGUAAGACUAGAGGAAGGAAAGAAGUUGUACCAGUAGCCAUAGCUUGAGGCAAGAACAUGUACAACAAGAAAAUCACAAGAACAGCUGAGUCGUCAGGCCUUAUACGAAGACCUGACUGCUCUUGAAGAGAUUAUUGCCCCCACCUGCUGCACUGGGGAUGCUUGCAACACCUCCUCCAGGAUAAAACAGCUCAGAGCUUUGAAUUACAGCACCUUCGAAGCUCAACCACGACUAGCUCCUCACUCGCCGGAAAACCAACUACUGACUGACUUGUGUUUGGGAGAGAGAGCAGAGAGGAAGAAGAGAAGAGAAUGUAGGGUGUGGUGUAUGAAACUCAGCAGCUUAGUCCUCUAUUUAUACUAGAGGCUAAGUGUAACUGACCACCCCAAAUUUAAUAUAUGAAUUUAAACUGCACAUUUAAAAUAAAUCGUAACAGCUGAUUUAUUAUAAUGUAACAGCUGAUAUAUAUUAAUCCUCACAUUAAACCAUCCGUUUUAUAUAUAUAUACUUUAAUUUCUGAAUAUAUAUCAUCAGUUACAAGUCCAGGUUCAUUGUAUCUGACUUAGCCCAAUUAUGCAAUCCGACCCAGUCCAAUUGAGCCCAACAGACACAACCCAGCCCAACUGAUAAAUAAAUUCUAAUUAAAAUAUUAUAUUAAAUCGAUACGAAAUAAAAUUCCCCGCCCAGGUCGCCUCGCGUACGCGAGACGCCGAGACAUUCGCCCAAAUCGCCCUUCGACCCGACCCGUGACGUGACGUGACGUGCCGAGCCGAGGCGGCGCGCGCGUGGGCUCGUGAGAACACCACACACCAUAACACACCUUAGUAGUUAUGCACUACCCAUGUGUGUUAUACUAUAUAAAGCCAACACCCCUUUUAUUUCUUUCUAUGUGGGACAAACACAUUCUCAAAACAAGCUUUUCCAAGCUACUAACUUCAACUUCAUUUCUCUUAUGGAUUUCAUUAAGAAAAUUCUUAAACCCAUACAUGAAAGUUUAAGUCCCGAUAUCUAGAACCAACUUCCAAUCAUUAGAUUAUGGAAUUAACAACAAGA
Molecule: long non-coding RNA, 7789 nt
Filed under: Daucus carota (carrot)
Lineage: Eukaryota; Viridiplantae; Streptophyta; Magnoliopsida; Apiales; Apiaceae
Description: long non-coding RNA (DCAR_LNC005671)
Source: RNAcentral